CCUANGGGAGGCUGCAGUCGAGAAUAUUCCUCAAUGGGCGAAAGCCUGAAGGAGCGACGCCGCGUGCGGGAUGAAGGGCUUCGGCUCGUAAACCGCUUUUACUAGGGAAGAACAAUGACGGUACCUAGAGAAUAAGAGGUUGCUAACUCUGUGCCAGCAGCAGCGGUAAUAACAGAGACCUCAAGCAUUAUCCGGAUUAACUGGGCGUAAAGGGUCCGCAGGUGGUCGUGCACGUCGAUGGUUAAAUGUUCGGGCUCAACCCGGACACCGCCGUCGAUACGACAUGACUAGAGGUUGGAAGAGGCGAGCGGAAUUACCGGUGUAGUAGUAAUAUGCGUUGAUAUCGGUAAGAACGCCAAAUGCGUAGGCAGCUCGCUGGAACACACCUGACACUCAGGGACGAAAGCGUGGGGAGCGAAAGGGAUUAGAUACCCUANUANUC
Molecule: ribosomal RNA, 442 nt
Filed under: uncultured bacterium
Lineage: Bacteria
Description: bacterial SSU rRNA
Rfam family: Bacterial small subunit ribosomal RNA
Source: RNAcentral